GUGGGGAAUCUUGCACAAUGGGCGCAAGCCUGAUGCAGCAACGCCGCGUGCGGGAAGAAGGCCCUAGGGUUGUAAACCGCUUUCAGUAGGGAAGAAAAUGACGGUACCUACAGAAGAAGGUGCGGCCAACUACGUGCCAGCAGCCGCGGUAACACGUAGGCACCAAGCGUUAUCCGGAUUUAUUGGGCGUAAAGAGCUCGUAGGCGGUUCAGUCAGUCGGGUGUGAAAACUUGAGGCUUAACCUCAAGAGGUCACUCGAUACUACUGUGACUAGAGUGCGGUAGGGGAGCGGGGAAUUCCUGGUGUAGCGGUGAAAUGCGCAGAUAUCAGGAGGAACACCAGUGGCGAAGGCGCCGCUCUGGGCCGUAACUGACGCUGAGGAGCGAAAGCAUGGGUAGCAAACAGGAUUAGAAACCCCAGUAGUCC
Molecule: ribosomal RNA, 426 nt
Filed under: uncultured bacterium
Lineage: Bacteria
Description: bacterial SSU rRNA
Rfam family: Bacterial small subunit ribosomal RNA
Source: RNAcentral